ACUUAUAUUUUGUAGCAAGGUUAACCGUAUAGGGGAGCCGUAGGGAAACCGAGUCUUAACUGGGCGAAUAGUUGCAAGGUAUAGACCCGAAACCCGGUGAUCUAGCCAUGGGCAGGUUGAAGGUUGGGUAACACUAACUGGAGGACCGAACCGACUAAUGUUGAAAAAUUAGCGGAUGACUUGUGGCUGGGGGUGAAAGGCCAAUCAAACCGGGAGAUAGCUGGUUCUCCCCGAAAGCUAUUUAGGUAGCGCCUCGUGAACUCAUCUUCGGGGGUAGAGCACUGUUUCGGCUAGGGGGCCAUCCCGGCUUACCAAACCGAUGCAAACUCCGAAUACCGAAGAAUGUUAUCACGGGAGACACACGGCGGGUGCUAACGUCCGUCGUGAAGAGGGAAACAACCCAGACCGCCAGCUAAGGUCCCAAAGUCAUGGUUAAGUGGGAAACGAUGUGGGAAGGCAUAGACAGCCAGGAUGUUGGCUUAGAAGCAGCCAUCAUUUAAAGAAAGCGUAAUAGCUCACUGGUCGAGUCGGCCUGCGCGGAAGAUGUAACGGGGCUAAACCAUGCACCGAAGCUGCGGCAGCGACGCUUAGGCGUUGUUGGGUAGGGGAGCGUUCUGUAAGCCGUUGAAGGUGGCCUGUGAGGGUUGCUGGAGGUAUCAGAAGUGCGAAUGCUGACAUAAGUAACGAUAAAGCGGGUGAAAAGCCCGCUCGCCGGAAGACCAAGGGUUCCUGUCCAACGUUAAUCGGGGCAGGGUGAGUCGACCCCUAAGGCGAGGCUGAAAAGCGUAGUCGAUGGGAAACAGGUUAAUAUUCCUGUACUUGGUGUUACUGCGAAGGGGGGACGGAGAAGGCUAGGCUGGCCGGGCGACGGUUGUCCCGGUUUAAGCGUGUAGGGGGUGUGACCUGGUAAAUCCGGUUGCAUACUAACCCUGAGGCGUGAUGACGAUGCACUACGGUGCAGAAGUAGUUGAUGCCCUGCUUCCAGGAAAAUCCUCUAAGCUCCAGGUAACAUUAAAUCGUACCCCAAACCGACACAGGUGGUCAGGUAGAGAAUACCAAGGCGCUUGAGAGAACUCGGGUGAAGGAACUAGGCAAAAUGGUGCCGUAACUUCGGGAGAAGGCACGCUGGCAUGUAGGUGAAGUCCCUUGCGGAUGGAGCUGAAGCCAGUCGAAGAUACCAGCUGGCUGCAACUGUUUAAUAAAAACACAGCACUGUGCAAACACGAAAGUGGACGUAUACGGUGUGACGCCUGCCCGGUGCUGGAAGGUUAAUUGAUGGGGUCAGCCGCAAGGCGAAGCUCUUGAUCGAAGCCCCAGUAAACGGCGGCCGUAACUAUAACGGUCCUAAGGUAGCGAAAUUCCUUGUCGGGUAAGUUCCGACCUGCACGAAUGGCGUAAUGAUGGCCAGGCUGUCUCCACCCGAGACUCAGUGAAAUUGAACUCGCUGUGAAGAUGCAGUGUACCCGCGGCAAGACGGAAAGACCCCGUGAACCUUUACUAUAGCUUGACACUGAACAUUGAGCCUUGAUGUGUAGGAUAGGUGGGAGGCUUUGAAGCGUGGACGCCAGUCUGCGUGGAGCCAUCCUUGAAAUACCACCCUUUAAUGUUUGAUGUUCUAACUCGGCCCCGUGAUCCGGGGUGAGGACAGUGUCUGGUGGGUAGUUUGACUGGGGCGGUCUCCUCCCAAAGAGUAACGGAGGAGCACGAAGGUUAGCUAAUCACGGUCGGACAUCGUGAGGUUAGUGCAAAGGCAUAAGCUAGCUUGACUGCGAGAGUGACGGCUCGAGCAGGUACGAAAGUAGGUCUUAGUGAUCCGGUGGUUCUGAAUGGAAGGGCCAUCGCUCAACGGAUAAAAGGUACUCCGGGGAUAACAGGCUGAUACCGCCCAAGAGUUCAUAUCGACGGCGGUGUUUGGCACCUCGAUGUCGGCUCAUCACAUCCUGGGGCUGAAGUAGGUCCCAAGGGUAUGGCUGUUCGCCAUUUAAAGUGGUACGCGAGCUGGGUUUAGAACGUCGUGAGACAGUUCGGUCCCUAUCUGCCGUGGGCGUUGGAAGAUUGAGAGGGGUUGCUCCUAGUACGAGAGGACCGGAGUGAACGCACCACUGGUGUUCGGGUUGUCAUGCCAAUGGCAUUGCCCGGUAGCUAAGUGCGGAAAAGAUAAGCGCUGAAAGCAUCUAAGCGCGAAACUUGCCUCAAGAUGAGUCUUCCCUUGGACUUUGAGUCCACUGAAGGAACGUUUAAGACUAAGACGUUGAUAGGCUGGGUGUGUAAGUGCAGCGAUGCAUUGAGCUAACCAGUACUAAUGAUCCGUGAGGCUUAACCUU
Molecule: ribosomal RNA, 2324 nt
Filed under: Serratia marcescens
Lineage: Bacteria; Pseudomonadati; Pseudomonadota; Gammaproteobacteria; Enterobacterales; Yersiniaceae
Description: bacterial LSU rRNA
Rfam family: Bacterial large subunit ribosomal RNA
Source: RNAcentral